Molecule: ribosomal RNA, 486 nt
Filed under: uncultured Alphaproteobacteria bacterium
Lineage: Bacteria; Pseudomonadati; Pseudomonadota; Alphaproteobacteria
Description: bacterial SSU rRNA
Rfam family: Bacterial small subunit ribosomal RNA
Source: RNAcentral
GGCGGGAGACGGUCUUUCAGUUUCGGCUGGACGUCACACAGGUGCUGCAUGGCUGUCGUCAGCUCGUGUCGUGAGAUGUUGGGUUAAGUCCCGCAACGAGCGCAACCCUCGCCCUUAGUUGCCAGCAUUCAGUUGGGCACUCUAGGGGAACCGCCGGUGAUAAGCCGGAGGAAGGUGGGGAUGACGUCAAGUCCUCAUGGCCCUUACGGGAUGGGCUACACACGUGCUACAAUGGUGGUGACAGAGGGUAAUCCCUAAAAGCCAUCUCAGUUCGGAUCGGGGUCUGCAACUCGACCCCGUGAAGUUGGAAUCGCUAGUAAUCGCGUAACAGCAUGACGCGGUGAAUACGUUCCCGGGCCUUGUACACACCGCCCGUCACACCAUGGGAAUUGGAUCUACCCGAAGGUGGUGCGCCAACCGCGCAAGCGGAGGCAGCCAACCACGGUAGGUUCAGUGACUGGGGUGAAGUCGUAACAAGGUAGCCGU